Molecule: ribosomal RNA, 253 nt
Filed under: uncultured bacterium
Lineage: Bacteria
Description: partial 16S ribosomal RNA
Rfam family: Bacterial small subunit ribosomal RNA
Source: RNAcentral
UACGUAGGGUGCAAGCGUUGUCCGGAAUUAUUGGGCGUAAAGAGCUCGUAGGCAGCCAGGUAGGUCUGCUGUGAAAACUCGAGGCUCAACCUCGAGACGUCGGCGGAAACCAUCUGGCUAGAGUCCGGAAGAGGAGAGUGGAAUUCCUGGUGUAGCGGUGAAAUGCGCAGAUAUCAGGAAGAACACCCGUGGCGAAGGCGGCUCUCUGGGACGGUACUGACGCUGAGACGCGAAAGCGUGGGGAGCGAACAGG